RNAcentral lists this ribosomal RNA (674 nucleotides) under uncultured bacterium. RNAcentral's name for it is "bacterial SSU rRNA". It matches the Rfam family "Bacterial small subunit ribosomal RNA", at positions 43 to 706 of the family's 1533-position model. The record is from RNAcentral.
CAGGCUUAACACAUGCAAGUCGAGGGGCAGCAUGGUCUUAGCUUGCUAAGACUGAUGGCGACCGGCGCACGGGUGAGUAACACGUAUCCAACCUGCCGUCUACUCUUGGACAGCCUUCUGAAAGGAAGAUUAAUACAAGAUGGCAUCAUGAGUCCGCAUGUUCACAUGAUUAAAGGUAUUCCGGUAGACGAUGGGGAUGCGUUCCAUUAGAUAGUAGGCGGGGUAACGGCCCACCUAGUCUUCGAUGGAUAGGGGUUCUGAGAGGAAGGUCCCCCACAUUGGAACUGAGACACGGUCCAAACUCCUACGGGAGGCAGCAGUGAGGAAUAUUGGUCAAUGGGCGAGAGCCUGAACCAGCCAAGUAGCGUGAAGGAUGACUGCCCUAUGGGUUGUAAACUUCUUUUAUAAAGGAAUAAAGUCGGGUAUGUAUACCCGUUUGCAUGUACUUUAUGAAUAAGGAUCGGCUAACUCCGUGCCAGCAGCCGCGGUAAUACGGAGGAUCCGAGCGUUAUCCGGAUUUAUUGGGUUUAAAGGGAGCGUAGAUGGAUGUUUAAGUCAGUUGUGAAAGUUUGCGGCUCAACCGUAAAAUUGCAGUUGAUACUGGAUAUCUUGAGUGCAGUUGAGGCAGGCGGAAUUCGUGGUGUAGCGGUGAAAUGCUUAGAUAUCACGAAGAA